This 2102-nucleotide ribosomal RNA is filed under the name Triticum aestivum (bread wheat). RNAcentral describes it as "partial small subunit ribosomal RNA". Lineage: Eukaryota; Viridiplantae; Streptophyta; Magnoliopsida; Poales; Poaceae. The record is from RNAcentral.
GGGUAGGGCGAGGAGAGGAGGUACGGCGGCGGCGGCGACGAAGGGGGGAGGGAGAGCCGGCGGGCAGAGGGGGCGGCCGACCGCGUCGAGGAGCGCAGCGGAAGGAGAGGAGAAGUACGCGCCGCCGCAGAGCAGUAGUUGUCGGUGGCGGGUAGGGGUCGGGGGUGGGAUCGGAGGGGUUAGGGGAGGAGGGCGUGCUUGGGAUCGUCUCUCUCUUCUACUCUCCCUCUCUCUCUUCCUUCCUCUCCCCUCCUCCCUCUUUCUCUCUCCUUUCUCCCCUCCCUCCACACCGCCGGCCACAGCCGGACGCGGCCGUUCCAGCCCGCGCUGGACCGCCAACCGCCGCCGAGCUAGGCAAGGACCUAGACGCUCCUCCGACCCCGAGCCCGUGCUACGUGCCCUCCGACGUGGGGCGGAGGUAGAGGUGCGCACGUCGCCGCUGGGGCCCUCCUCGAGCUCGGCGUCGCCACCAGGUGCCGCGGUCGCAGCCGUCCUCCUCGCACCCGGCAUCUCUGCCGGCCGAGGCAGGCCGAAAGCGCGACGGCAGGUAGGUGGGCUCGCUAGUCAGGCGCGCAGGAGCGGGGGCAGGAGAGUGCGUGCGGGAGCACAGACCUAUAAACGAAAGUCAGUGCCUAAGAACUUCUUUUGUCCUUUUGUCCAUUAUAUAUACUAAUCACAAACCCACUGGCAACUAAGGAUGUGGCUCAACACAACGACAUGUUUAUCGGAGAGAAAAACCACCACUGUGCCACAGGGAAGGUCCAAGUCGUCGUCCGUUACGAGUUCUGUCUCAACCCACGUGUAGUAUAUAUAUGUAUACAACAGCGUAGAAUUAUUUGUCUCUACUCGUCUUCGUCUCUACUCUAUAGAUAGGCUGACAGUAGGAAGGGUCUGAACCCAGACAGUAGAGACAGUCGUAGGCGAAGGCGAAGGAAUCAACCAACAGCGAAGAAACAUUGUGGUAAACUUAUUUAUUAUUUAUUCGGACUCAAACCUAAUUAGAACGCAUCGGGUAACCUAACUAACCUAUAGUCUUCUAUGCACAUAUGAAUCGGUUCUGUAAUAUACGACUGACUCAAGGGAUUCGUCCCUAAAAGUCAGUGUGAAAGAUAUCGGUGCAAGUACUCAACUAAGUCAUAUCGAGUACUCAACUAAGUCAUAAUAAUAACUAAACGUUAUGUCAACUAAGUCAUGAUUACAUAUAUGACAUAUGCUUACGUGUAGGGUAUUAACAACACCAUCUGACAGCAGACGUCAGGUAAAUAUACCAGAAAGAGGUCUUUGAUAUCCACACAAGAGAUAUGACAAGGUCACAUGAUUUAGACUUGUAUAUAGGAAGUUUAUUAGAUGAUAAAGUAAUCCGUGUUUAACCAUGUCUAUUUGGUGUGUAGAGACGUCUGUUUGGAAACAAAAGGUAUAUAGGGUAAUUCUUUUAUUUACAGUGAAGUCUACAUCACUUUUCUUCAAAUCAACGGCGGAGUCGAGGAAUGACCGCUGACCACACUUAGUAGAGUCAAAAAAUUACAGUGACAAAUAGAAUAAAUCAGAACUCUUAACAACACACACAAGAAGAGAUCCAACACGUUCGGUUCACCAACUACGUAACGAAGAAACAUGUCAAAAACACCUACAAAACCAGACAGAUAUGGUAUAAUUCGUUUAUACUCAUGAAAAUCGACAUCACCUUUUGUUCUUAAAUUGUCUCAAAAACGGUUUAACUGUAAAGAGACGACUUUAAUAAGGACUUACAUUACUAUCUUCAAAAAAGGGGGUAAAGAUAUAACAGAGCUUACAAACCUUUUAACAUAGUGACGUUACGGAAGAAGCAUAGACACCUUAACCUCUUUUUACGUAUGUACAAUAACUACGGAAUCGUUCUUCCGAGCGGCCGACCCUCUACCGCUCGCGGUCACUCGUGAUACGUGCCACAUCGUUCGACCUGUUCUCGCACUCGCUGUCAGUUCUGUACUCGAUAGGUCACAUCCAAGUCUGUUAAGUAAGUAAGUAACGUCCAAGCCGUACAGAGUAAUACAGAAAAACGAAGUAUAAGUCCCAGUUUGACCCGAUAUAAAGAAAGUAACUCCGCUCCUACUAAGGUCGUC